This 310-nucleotide unclassified non-coding RNA is filed under the name plant metagenome. RNAcentral describes it as "partial contains 5.8S ribosomal RNA, internal transcribed spacer 2, and large subunit ribosomal RNA". The stretch from base 1 to 102 matches the Rfam family "5.8S ribosomal RNA", at positions 52 to 154 of the family's 154-position model. The record is from RNAcentral.
AAUGCGAUACGUAAUGUGAAUUGCAAAUUCAGUGAAUCAUCGAGUCUUUGAACGCACAUUGCGCCCCCUGGUAUUCCGGGGGGCAUGCCUGUCCGAGCGUCAUUUCUGCCCUCAAGCACGGCUUGUGUGUUGGGCCCCGUCCUCCGAUCCCGGGGGACGGGCCCGAAAGGCAGCGGCGGCACCGCGUCCGGUCCUCGAGCGUAUGGGGCUUUGUCACCCGCUCUGUAGGCCCGGCCGGCGCUUGCCGAUCAACCCAAAUUUUUAUCCAGGUUGACCUCGGAUCAGGUAGGGAUACCCGCUGAACUUAAGC